UUGUGUCCGACUAUCCUCUAUAAAUAGCAUCAGGUGUGUGGUGUCUUCACUUCAGCCAAGAGAGUCUUUCACUUCCACACACGCACACACAUGGCAACUAUAGGAUUAUCUUCAAAGAGUGCGAAAGAAAAAGAUAAAGCAAUUGAACCAUGCUGCAAAACCUUUGCGAGAGGAAUCAACGAUGGAUGUGUCUGACGAAUCGACAUCGAUCAUGUUGCAAACCUCCCAAACGCAACAUGACUUAAGUUGGAAAUUACUUGUCUUGCAAAUCGCCGAGCGCAACACAACUCAUGUUGCAAAUCUACGAAUGCAAAAUGACCCAUGUUACAAACCUCGUCAUGCGCCAGGUGAAUCGGACGGCUAUCUCGCGGUGGAUCAUAUGUCUCGGUCUCACAACCUAGCCUCCCUUUCAAAGAUCAGCCGGUCGGCCACCAAUGCAUGUAGCGUUGUAUAAUAACCAUUUUCACGUCUGAUCAGAAAUAGUCGCUCCCGUUCCAAAAGGUUAAAAAUCGUUG
Molecule: long non-coding RNA, 515 nt
Filed under: Hordeum vulgare
Lineage: Eukaryota; Viridiplantae; Streptophyta; Magnoliopsida; Poales; Poaceae
Description: long non-coding RNA (HVUL_LNC001937)
Source: RNAcentral